AUGGCUUCUAUAUGGCAGGCAAAACUGCUCUUUCUUGCAUUGCUCCUCGCAUUCGCCACCACCUCCUACGCCCAUGGUGGUGGUAGCCUCGAGCUCCGAUGCCAUCCAGACCAGGCUGCAACGCUCCUCCAGCUAAAGAAAUCCUUCUUCUUCGAUGAAGCCGCUACCAGCCUUUCAUCCUGGAAAGAAGGUACGGACUGUUGUCGCUGGGAGGGUGUUGGCUGUGGUGGCUCCUCUGGUCGGGUCACGGCACUCAGUCUCAGCCGCUUGGGCUUGAUGAGGAGCAAAGGCCUUAACCCUGUGAUCUGCAAUCUCACCUGCCUAAAGUUUCUCGAUCUUAGCAUGACUGACUUUUCUGAAUAUAACAUGUCAGCUGUUGGGCUCGAGAGGCUUACUUUUCUUACCCACCUCAACCUCUCCAAUUCGAAUCUUGAGGGUGAAAUACCUGCUGGCAUCGGCAAGCUUAAGAAUCUUGUCUCCUUGGAUCUUUCUAGUGAAGAUCCUAGUGACGACGAAUCUGAUAUUCAUGUUGUUAGCCUACCUAACUCACUGUGGAUAUCUGAUUUUCAAGCCCUAGUGGGGAACCUCAGCAAUUUAAGAGAGCUCCGCCUAGACGAUAUAUCUGAUUGUGGAUUUCUAGGGCGAAUGCCAUCUUCAAUUGGUAAUCUUGUGAAUUUGAGAAGCCUGAGUUUACAUUCUUCUUACUUUUCUGGGAAAAUUCCAUCUACAAUUGGCAAUCUCACAAAUUUAAGAAGACUGGAUAUCAGUGAUUGUGGAUUUAUUGGGCCAUUGCCAACUGCAAUAGGCAAUCUCGCGGAUUUGAGAAGCCUGACUAUUUAUUCUUCUGGAUUUUCUGGGCCAAUACCAUGUACAAUUGGCUUUCUUACAAACUUGGAAAGCUUGAGAUUCUUCAACUCAAAAUUUACUGGGACAAUACCCUACACAAGUGGCAAUCUAAGUAGCUUGCAGAGCAUGGAUUUCACCCUGUGCAAGCUUUCUGGGCCAAUACCACAUGAAGUUGGGAAACUUAAGGAAUUGACAGCACUAGCGCUUGGAGUAAACACUUUUUCUAGGGGAAUACCUUAUUCAAUUGGGGUAAUUCCAGCAUCUCUCUUCAAUGUUCCAUUACAAUACCUGGAUCUGUCUGGGAAUCAACUUUUUGGCCCUAUAAAAGAGUUCAAUGUGGUAUCUUCAGACUUGGAGUAUUUGAGUCUAGAAAGAAAUAAAUUGAAUGGAAAAAUUCCUAGGUCAUUCUUUGAACUCACAAACUUGGUCUCUAUGUUUGUUGGUUGGAACAACUUGGUAGGUAAGGUGGAACUGACCUCAUUUCAAAGGUUGACGAAGCUACAUGAUUUGAGACUUUCACACAACAAGUUGUCUAUCGUGGAUGGAGAAGGAAAUAAUAACUCAUCAUCAAGCUAUCUCUCCAGACUUUCUUUGUUAGGGCUUGCGUCUUGCAAAAUAACCAAAUUUUCGAGUAUUUUGACACGUCUCGGUGAUGUUGGUGAUUUAGACCUUAUUCCAAUGCAUGCGCUUGAUCUUAGUUCCAAUGGUCUCCAGGGUCAGAUCCCUAUGCCAUACUCAUCAGCAGUGUUUUUGGAUUAUUCAGAUAAUAAUUUCUCUUCUGUUCUUCCAAACUUCACUUUAUAUCUUGGAACUACCACGUAUCUCAGGAUGUCCAACAAUAGUAUAAAUGGACAUAUACCGCAAUCAGUUUGCAAUUUCAGAUUGGAUUUCCUUGACUUAUCCUACAACAACUUUAGUGGGGGGCUUCCCUCUUGUUUGAUAGAAUAUGCUUCAUUAACGGUAUUAAAUUUGAGAGAGAAUCACUUUGAAGGGACAUUGCCAUCUGAUAUUACAAGUGAAUGUACUUUCGGGACAGUAGAUUUGCAUGGUAACAAGAUUGAAGGGCAGCUUCCAAGGACACUUUCUAACUGCAAGGAAUUGGAGGUUUUUGAUAUAGGGAACAAUCUAAUAGUUGAUACUUUCCCAUCUUGGCUAGGGGAGCUUCCCAAUCUUUACGUUCUUAUCUUGAGGUCCAACCAUUUCUAUGGUUAUAUAAAUUAUAGUGCCGGUAAUCACCAAUCCAAAGAUUACUUCUCUAGCUUGCAAAUUAUUGAUCUUGCGUCGAAUAACUUCUCUGGCACUUUGAAUACUGAAUGGUUUGGGCAUACAGGACCUACUGUCCUUGCUCAAAACAUAUCAACCGGUCCCGGGGGACUAUAUCAAGAUUCUACUAAGAUCACAUACAAGGGGUCCUCUGUGACGUUUGAAAAGAUCCUGACAACCUUAACAGCAAUUGACUUUUCAAAUAACAAACUGGAAGGUACAAUUCCUGAAUCAGUUGGAUGGCUUGUUUCACUGCAUGUACUGAACAUGUCACACAAUGCCUUCACUGGGAAAAUUCCAUCCCAGCUUGGUGGCAUGACUGAUCUGGAGUCAAUGGACCUUUCUUGCAACCAACUCUCAGGGAUUAUUCCACAAGAACUUGCAAAUCUCACAUUUCUCGGCAUGCUGAACUUGUCUGACAACCAGUUGGUGGGGAAGAUACCACAAUCACGUCAAUUCUCGACAUUUGAUAAUAGUUCGUUCAAAGACAAUUUGCGUCUGUGUGGACCUCCGUUGUCCAACCCCUGUGUCGUUUCACCUGCUCCUCCAAGUUUAGUGCAGGUGGAGGAUUCGUCUCAUGUUGAUGUCAUCUUGUUUCUCUUUUUCGGGCUGGGCUACGGUGUUGGAUUCGCAGCUGCCAUUCUGAUGAGAUGGGGUCGAAUUGGUGAAUGGCUUGUUAAAUCAGCAAGAGCUUUGAGGACUUGA
This 2814-nucleotide ribosomal RNA is filed under the name Triticum aestivum (bread wheat). RNAcentral's name for it is "partial small subunit ribosomal RNA". The record is from RNAcentral. Lineage: Eukaryota; Viridiplantae; Streptophyta; Magnoliopsida; Poales; Poaceae.